ACGAACGCUGGCGGCGUGCCUAAUACAUGCAAGUCGAACGGUCUUUCUAUGGAAGCUUGCUUCCACUGAGAAGAUAGUGGCGAACGGGUGAGUAACACGUGGGUAACCUGCCCAUAAGAGGGGGAUAACAUCCGGAAACGGGUGCUAAUACCGCAUAGUUUUCUUGAUCGCAUGAUCGGGAAAGGAAAGACGGCCUUUGUGCUGUCGCUUAUGGAUGGACCCGCGGCGUAUUAGUUAGUUGGUGAGGUAACGGCUCACCAAGACGAUGAUACGUAGCCGACCUGAGAGGGUGAUCGGCCACAUUGGGACUGAGACACGGCCCAAACUCCUACGGGAGGCAGCAGUAGGGAAUCUUCCGCAAUGGACGAAAGUCUGACGGAGCAACGCCGCGUGAGUGAAGAAAGGUUUUCGGAUCGUAAAACUCUGUUGUCAGAGAAGAACAAGUUGGAGAGUAACUGCUCCAGCCUUGACGGUAUCUGACCAGAAAGCCACGGCUAACUACGUGCCAGCAGCGGC
This 516-nucleotide ribosomal RNA is filed under the name uncultured bacterium. RNAcentral describes it as "bacterial SSU rRNA". It matches the Rfam family "Bacterial small subunit ribosomal RNA", at positions 29 to 518 of the family's 1533-position model. The record is from RNAcentral.